Molecule: ribosomal RNA, 246 nt
Filed under: uncultured bacterium
Lineage: Bacteria
Description: partial 16S ribosomal RNA
Rfam family: Bacterial small subunit ribosomal RNA
Source: RNAcentral
UGGCGACCGGCGCACGGGUGAGUAACGCGUAUGCAACUUACCUAUCAGAGGGGGAUAGCCCGGCGAAAGUCGGAUUAAUACCCCAUGAAACAGGGGUCCCGCAUGGGAAUAUUUGUUAAAGAUUCAUCGCUGAUCGAUAGGCAUGCGUUCCAUUAGGCAGUUGGCGGGGUAACGGCCCACCAAACCGACGAUGGAUAGGGGUUCUGAGAGGAAGGUCCCCCACAUUGGUACUGAGACACGGACCAA